GAUGAUUCCGUGUGAGCGGCAGCGGUGAGACGGUAUGUGUGGGGGUUAUCCGACGUUAGUUGGUUGAAAGGGUGCGCGGGCGGCGGCGGAAGUCAUUGGGGAAAACGUGCGGCUUAGCCGUGCAAUUGCAGUUGAUACUGCGUCGCUUGAGUGCACACAGGGAUGUUGGAAUUCAUGGUGUAGCGGUGAAAUGCUUAGAUAUCAUGAAGAACUCCGAUCGCGAAGGCAUAUGUCCGGAGUGCAACUGACGCUGAGGCUCGAAAGUGUGGGUAUCAAACAGGAUUAGAUACCCUUGUAGUC
This 300-nucleotide ribosomal RNA is filed under the name uncultured Streptomyces sp. RNAcentral's name for it is "bacterial SSU rRNA". It matches the Rfam family "Bacterial small subunit ribosomal RNA", at positions 496 to 795 of the family's 1533-position model. The record is from RNAcentral. Lineage: Bacteria; Bacillati; Actinomycetota; Actinomycetes; Kitasatosporales; Streptomycetaceae.